GAGUAAAGAUUUCGGUCGCUUUGGGAGGAGCUCGCUUACUAUCAGCUUGUUGGUAGGGUAAUGGCCUACCAAGGCUAUGACGGUUAGGGGGUGUGAGAGCAUGACCCCCAGCAUUGGCACUGAAACACUGGCCAAACACCUACGGGUGGCUGCAGUCGAGAAUCUUCCACAAUGGGGGAAACCCUGAUGGAGCGAUGCUGCGUGCGGGAUGAAGGCCUUCGGGUUGUAAACCGCUUUUGUAGGGGACGAAAUUUUUGACGGUACCCUUUCGAAUAAGAGGUUGCUAACUCUGUGCCAGCAGCAGCGGUAAUACAGAGACCUCAAGCGUUAUCCGGAUUUACUGGGCGUAAAGCGUCUGUAGGGGGUUUAUUAAGUUCCAAGUAAAAUUUCAAGGCUCAACUUUGAAUUCGCUUGGAAAACUAAUAAACUGGAGUCUAGCAGAGGUGCAUGGAACUUGUGGUGUAGGAGUGAAAUCCGUUGAUAUCACAAGGAACACCAAGGGCGAAGGCAUUGCACUGGGCUAGCACUGACCCUGAGAGACGAAAGCGUGGGGAGCAAAACGGAUUAGAUACCCGUGUAGUCCACGCCCUAAACGAUGAAUGCUAAAUGUUCGGGGAUUCGACCCCCUGGGUGUUACAGCUAACGCGUUAAGCAUUCCGCCUGGGAAGUACGGCCGCAAGGCUAAAACUCAAAGGAAUAGACGGGGAUCCGCACAAGCGGUGGAGCGUCUGGUUUAAUUCGACAGUAAGUGUGGUACCUCACCAGGGUUUGACAUCCCUUGACAGCCUUGGAAACAAGGUUUCCUUCGGGCAAGGUGACAGGUGCUGCAUGGUCGUCGUCAGUUCGUGCCGUGAGGUGUUCCGUUAAGUCGGGAAACGAACGAAACCCCUAUUGCAUGUUACAAUUUCUCAUGCAAGACUGCCCGGAUAUACUGGGAGGAAGGUGGGGAUGACGUCAGAUCUGCAUGGUCCUUAUACCCUGGGCGACACAGGCGCUACAAUGGCAGAGACAAAGGGUCGCAAAACCGCAAGGUGAAGCUAAUCCCAAAAACUUUGUCUAAGUUCGGAUUGAAGGCUGCAAUUCGCCUUCAUGAAGCUGGAAUCGCUAGUAAUCGUGAAUCAGCCACGUCACGGUGAAUAUGUUCCCGGAUCUUGUACUCACCGCCCGUCACACCAAGAGAGUUGGUAGCUCCC
Molecule: ribosomal RNA, 1193 nt
Filed under: uncultured organism
Description: bacterial SSU rRNA
Rfam family: Bacterial small subunit ribosomal RNA
Source: RNAcentral